RNAcentral lists this ribosomal RNA (497 nucleotides) under uncultured bacterium. RNAcentral describes it as "partial 16S ribosomal RNA". It matches the Rfam family "Bacterial small subunit ribosomal RNA", at positions 28 to 507 of the family's 1533-position model. The record is from RNAcentral.
GACGAACGCUGGCGGCGUGCCUAAUACAUGCAAGUAGAACGCUGAAGAGAGGAGCUUGCUCUUCUUGGAUGAGUUGCGAACGGGUGAGUAACGCGUAGGUAACCUGCCUUGUAGCGGGGGAUAACUAUUGGAAACGAUAGCUAAUACCGCAUAACAAUGGAUGACACAUGUCAUUUAUUUGAAAGGGGCAAUUGCUCCACUACAAGAUGGACCUGCGUUGUAUUAGCUAGUAGGUGAGGUAAUGGCUCACCUAGGCGACGAUACAUAGACGACCUGAGAGGGUGACCGGCCAUACUGGGACUGAGACACGGCCCAGACUCCUACGGGAGGCAGCAGUAGGGAAUCUUCGGCAAUGGGGGCAACCCUGACCGAGCAACGCCGCGUGAGUGAAGAAGGGUUUCGGAUCGUAAAGCUCUGUUGUAAGUCAAGAACGGGUGUGAGAGUGGAAAGUUCACACUGUGACGGUAGCUUACCAGAAAGGGACGGCUAACUACGUG